This 1049-nucleotide ribosomal RNA is filed under the name Escherichia coli. RNAcentral's name for it is "partial 23S ribosomal RNA". It matches the Rfam family "Bacterial large subunit ribosomal RNA", at positions 105 to 1194 of the family's 2925-position model. The record is from RNAcentral. Lineage: Bacteria; Pseudomonadati; Pseudomonadota; Gammaproteobacteria; Enterobacterales; Enterobacteriaceae.
CGGCGAUUUCCGAAUGGGGAAACCCAGUGUGUUUCGACACACUAUCAUUAACUGAAUCCAUAGGUUAAUGAGGCGAACCGGGGGAACUGAAACAUCUAAGUACCCCGAGGAAAAGAAAUCAACCGAGAUUCCCCCAGUAGCGGCGAGCGAACGGGGAGCAGCCCAGAGCCUGAAUCAGUAUGUGUGUUAGUGGAAGCGUCUGGAAAGGCGCGCGAUACAGGGUGACAGCCCCGUACACAAAAAUGCACAUGCUGUGAGCUCGAUGAGUAGGGCGGGACACGUGGUAUCCUGUCUGAAUAUGGGGGGACCAUCCUCCAAGGCUAAAUACUCCUGACUGACCGAUAGUGAACCAGUACCGUGAGGGAAAGGCGAAAAGAACCCCGGCGAGGGGAGUGAAAAAGAACCUGAAACCGUGUACGUACAAGCAGUGGGAGCACAGAGCAAUCUGUGUGACUGCGUACCUUUUGUAUAAUGGGUCAGCGACUUAUAUUCUGUAGCAAGGUUAACCGAAUAGGGGAGCCGAAGGGAAACCGAGUCUUAACUGGGCGUUAAGUUGCAGGGUAUAGACCCGAAACCCGGUGAUCUAGCCAUGGGCAGGUUGAAGGUUGGGUAACACUAACUGGAGGACCGAACCGACUAAUGUUGAAAAAUUAGCGGAUGACUUGUGGCUGGGGGUGAAAGGCCAAUCAAACCGGGAGAUAGCUGGUUCUCCCCGAAAGCUAUUUAGGUAGCGCCUCGUGAAUUCAUCUCCGGGGGUAGAGCACUGUUUCGGCAAGGGGGUCAUCCCGACUUACCAACCCGAUGCAAACUGCGAAUACCGGAGAAUGUUAUCACGGGAGACACACGGCGGGUGCUAACGUCCGUCGUGAAGAGGGAAACAACCCAGACCGCCAGCUAAGGUCCCAAAGUCAUGGUUAAGUGGGAAACGAUGUGGGAAGGCCCAGACAGCCAGGAUGUUGGCUUAGAAGCAGCCAUCAUUUAAAGAAAGCGUAAUAGCUCACUGGUCGAGUCGGCCUGCGCGGAAGAUGUAACGGGGCUAAACCAUGCAC